Molecule: ribosomal RNA, 498 nt
Filed under: uncultured bacterium
Lineage: Bacteria
Description: partial 16S ribosomal RNA
Rfam family: Bacterial small subunit ribosomal RNA
Source: RNAcentral
GGAUGAACGCUGGCGGCGUGCCUAAUACAUGCAAGUCGAGCGAACGGACGAGAAGCUUGCUUCUCUGAUGUUAGCGGCGGCCGGGUGAGUAACACGUGGAUAACCUACCUAUAAGACUGGGAUAACUUCGGGAAACCGGAGCUAAUACCGGAUAAUAUUUUGAACCGCAUGGUUCAAAAGUGAAAGACGGUCUUGCUGUCACUUAUAGAUGGAUCCGCGCUGCAUUAGCUAGUUGGUAAGGUAACGGCUUACCAAGGCAACGAUGCAUAGCCGACCUGAGAGGGUGAUCGGCCACACUGGAACUGAGACACGGUCCAGACUCCUACGGGAGGCAGCAGUAGGGAAUCUUCCGCAAUGGGCGAAAGCCUGACGGAGCAACGCCGCGUGAGUGAUGAAGGUCUUCGGAUCGUAAAACUCUGUUAUUAGGGAAGAACAUAUGUGUAAGUAACUGUGCACAUCUUGACGGUACCUAAUCAGAAAGCCACGGCUAACUACGUG